Long non-coding RNA from Dreissena polymorpha, 2107 nucleotides. RefSeq lists it as uncharacterized. The transcript has 2 exons. The record is from RefSeq and is a predicted model, not a curated record. Lineage: Eukaryota; Metazoa; Mollusca; Bivalvia; Myida; Dreissenidae.
AAUUCAAAGACUAUUAACAUUUAAAAGAUUUAUUUUAUCACAAAAUAACCAAACCAAAUGUUUUAACAAAUACAUUACACUUUUUAAAAUUUCAAGGCUUGCUGUUACUUGGCAUUACAAAACAAAUUUAUUGUAAGUCUUUGCAGUAACAUUUCUUAAACAACACUCAUUCAAUAUAUAACCUUUAUAAAGCAUAUUUAUUUUAUUUCACAAUAUAUGUUUGCUAAAAAAAUGUUUUUCUUAACUUAUUCAUUCGGUUUGUCUUUUUGCAUGGAUAGAUUUGUUAAUAUUUUUAGUUUAUGUUAGCUUUUGUUGCUCUUUAUGUUGGCUUUUAUAAUGUUAUAUACACUGUCAGUUUUACUUUUAGUUCAUAUUAUUGUUAAGACGAGUUUUUAUUAUAUUUUAAAGGGGCAUAUCAGCAUUUAACAAACACAAAUCCUCAAUUUUGAGCAAUACAGUACUUGUACACUUGUAAUAUCAUACCUCGACUGUCUUACCAGGUUAAUCUGUUCAUAUGCCUCUUUAACUUUGCCUGUUUUAUAAACUUUACAGUACAUGUUUGUUAUCACAAACUUAGUUUUUACACAAAUACAUUUGUUACAGGUUUUUAUAUGUAUACUGUUGUUGAAUUAUGUUUUUGCUCCCGGUAGGGUGGCAUAUAGCAGUUGAACUGUCAGUCUGUCCGAAAACUUUAACAUUGGUCAUAACUUUUGCAAUAUUGAAAAUAGCAAAUUAAUAUUUGGCAUGCAUGUUUAUUUCAUGAAGCUGCACAUUUUUAGUGGUGAAAGUUCAAGGUCAACGUCAUCCUUCAACUCAAGGUCAAAAGGUCAACAACAAAAAUCAAGGAAAGUAAUAAGCUUUAAAAGGCAGAUAAUUUCUAAACCUGCCAAAUAAUACAUUGCAAUUUUAUUUCAAAGCAGGGCAAUAGGGGGCAUUGUAUUUCUGACGAACAAAUCUCUUUUUUUUUAAUCUUGUGUUAAAAAAACAUGGUUUCCGCUAAACUUCUUUUUAUUCUCUUUGUGUUUUUACAUGGGCAUUUUUUUUAAUUGUUUGUUAGUUUUUUUUUAUGUUAAGUUUAUGAUAUUGCUUAUAAUAUUAAAAAGGCAAUAUUCGUUUUUACAUGUAGUUUGUGUUUGUUUUUGUUACUCUUUUACUUCAUAUUUGCAUUUAUAAUGUUAUAUACACUGUUAGUUUUACUUUUAGUUCAUGUCAUUGUUAAGAUGAGUUUUUUUGUAAAAUAUUGAAGGGGCAUAUCAGCAUUUAACAUACACAAAUCCUAAAUUAUGAGCAAUACAGUACUUGUACACUUGUACUAUCAAACCUCGACUGUCUUACCAGGUUAAUCUGUUCAUAUGCCCCUUUAACUUUGCCUGUUUUAUAAACUUUACAUUACAUGUUUGUUAUCAAAACCUAAGUUUCUACACAAAAAUAUGUGUUACAGGUUUUUAUAACAUGGUUUUUGCAAAAGUUUUUCAUUACCUUUGUGUUCUUGCAUGGCAUUUUUUUUUUACUUGUUUGUUAGUUUUAUUUCAUGUUAAGUUUAUAAUAGUGCCUAUAAUAUUUAAAGGUCAAUAUUAGCAAUUUACAGAUUUCAUUCAUCAAAAAACAUAAAUGUUAAACAAUACAUUUACAUUUUUAAUUUCAGUUGAUUAUGUACUUUAAGUUUUUAUAUUAUGUUACGUUUUGAAAGAUGCUUCAAACAUGUUAGUCUUUGAAAUCAUUUUCCUUCCAAAGAUGUUGAUUUACUAUUAAAAUCAUAUUUCAUUUCUUAGUAUGUUUGUUAUAAAAAACAUUGUUUAACUUUAACAAUUUCAAAUCGUAUGUUUUUUGCAAUAUUAACAUGAAACUUUAUAGGAUUAUAAUAGUAUUAACCAAAAAAGCAUCGCAUAACAACUAUAGCUCUACUAUGCGUAAUUAAAGUUCUUGGCAAUUUUUUAGUAUAAUACUUGGCUUUGGUCAUCAGAAUUUCUUCACAUUUUAAAGUGACAUUUGCUUUAAACUUAAUACAUCAUUUAAACGAAGUGCGGUGUAAAAGAACCAUACAGUCUUACCAUUACUUACCAUGUUCUUCUGUUUUUUCAUAGCAAUAAAUAAAUGUUGAAGCAUU